GGAGAAUUGCUUGAACCUGGGAGAUGGAGGUUGCAGUGAGCUGAGAUCAUGCCACUGCACUCCAGCCUGGACAAUAGAGUGAGACUCUGUCUC
Molecule: microRNA precursor, 93 nt
Filed under: Pan paniscus (pygmy chimpanzee)
Lineage: Eukaryota; Metazoa; Chordata; Mammalia; Primates; Hominidae
Also listed under: 1 other name
Description: miRNA (ENSPPAG00000009564.1)
Source: RNAcentral